AUUAGCAUUUCUAGCAACAAUGUAUUUUUAAAUUAAGAUAUUUGAUGUGAUUCACCAGUACAGCCAUAUGAAGAUGAUAUUUUGAUUUUAGGAAUGUUUCAUUACAAAUGCAAUUCCUUCAACAGAGGCUUUUUCACUCCUCAGAAGAAAAAGUGGACACUAUAUGCCCCAAUGCAGCCGCAUUCCUGCUGGUCCCCAAAAGUAUAGUCACAAAAUUAAACAGGGCCUUCGAAGGACAAAUGGCCCAUGCUUCUCUGCUGGGAACAGGAGAACCGUGUUAUGUGGAAGAACCUCAGUGAACUGGCGAGACAGUGGCCAUUCUAUAAGGAGGUGACUAAGGCCCUGGGGCCUGUAGCAAGGAAGAGCUAAAUAUGGAAGCACUAGGGAGGAACAGAGAGGACCCCAUGAUUAGCCUCAGGGAAGACUGAGGCCGAAUGACUUAACUAGUACCAACUCCCAGUGAUUUCAGUGUCUGCCUACUCUAAAUCCCACUAGGAAUAUCAUCAUAAAGCAUGUGAUGACAACUGGGACAAGGCACACUAGAAAGACAAGCUCUGCCUUAUUGAAAGCAUGCUGAGCUUGUUUAGCAACUCAAGAUAUGUAAGCAAGUUCUAGACUCGUCUUGAGUCACCACAUCUACUGACCCAUCUCAUCAUCCUCCUUUGCAAUUUCUUCCAAGUUCAAAGAAAUGCACAAAUAUCCAGAUACUCAUCCCUCACUGAGACUCAGAAAAGGCAUAUAUUACACACAAGUAUAACAUGCCGAGACCUGGGAGCACAAACCAGGUCUCCCAUCCCUUUGCAAUUCAUUAAAUGGUAUAGGCGGGUAGUUUGCAGUAAGUAUCCUGAUUUUCUGAAAGGUGUUUCCAUGCUUAAAUUUCAAACCAAAAGUUUAAGAAAAAUCCAGCGACUGUGAUAACAGGGACACUUUCCUUUGGUCAAUAGAACAGGCAAUUAUAAAGGAACUAAAAGUAAUAAUUUACAUUCAUCAUGAGCUUCAUCUUUUCUUAACAUUUUAAUAUACUUUGGUUAGGAUAGGGUGAGUAUCAGUCCUGUUUUACAGAUGCACGGACUGAGUGAGGAUGAGAGGUGCUAGCUGAGUGGCCCACAUCAAUGUGACAAUGAUCCAAAGACCAUACCCCUUCCAUCUUUUUCUGAGGAAAAAAUUCAAAAUCUUUCAAAAUUCCACCUUUCCAUUUUGAUUCUUACCUAACUUUGUUUACUACACUGGGCUGCAUAAGUUCUUGAAGUUAAAUAAGUCAUUGUGGUUUGAUGGGAUAUCUUGCAAAGAGAAAUUUAUUGAUGAGUUCUUGGAGAAGUUUGAGUAUUUUGGGCCUUGAUUCUGAAUGUUUUCAUUUGUGUUCAAGGACUUGUCAUCUAUUUUCUUCUAACUGAAAAAUAAAUCAUUUCUAGGUUUCCCAUAUGGAAAUGUUUACCAUGACAUUGAUGUCAUUGGCCUGGGAUAACACCAGGAGGCUAGGGGGCUGGGGAUGGUGGGGAAUCAGGUUAGUCAUUCUGGGAGAAGCCCUCGCUGAAGAAAGACUCCUUUCUAAGCCCAAUAUGUUCCAAGCUUGACAUUUUCAGGAAUCUUGUCAACUUGGGAUCAACACAGAAAUGCCAGUACUCAAGGCACACCUUGUUAAGCAUGUAAAUGGAGACAUUCCUUUCCAUCCUACCCUCAUCCUGAGUCUUUGUUCUAGUUUGCUCUGAACUUUCUCCUCUUCCCUAAAAUGGAGGCUGUCCCAGGGUGACUGUUCCCAUUCUCCUAAAGUCCUGGUUGGGGACACUGAUGAUACAUUAGACAGCUCUAUUUAAAAUAAAAAAAAAAAACUAAUAAUAAUCAGGAUACCACUAGUCUAGAACUCAGUGUCUCAUUUGCCUGUGGAAGUGCCGAUGUACUUCAAGAACAAAUAAUUGAAGGACAUUAUGUCAUCUUUUUUGAGAGUGAAAUGUGGAUUUCUCAUAGAAAGUCGAAUAUUUUAACUUAAAAACUUAAAACGUCAAUAGUGUUUUCUUUUUCUAAAUUUUUAAAAAUGUAAUAUGGUUAAAAUUAGAUUGAAAAAGAAGUCCAUGACUGUUUUAUGGGCCAGGGCUUCUAUUUUAGAUCAAACAAUUUUAAUAUACUUGCCUUUAAUAUAAGUUUGAAGUAUGCAACAAAGUAUGCACUAACACAGUGGCUUCAAAAACACUGUCUUGCCCACAUCAGAAUUCAUUUGUAGCUGUCAAACAUGAAUUUGGAGCCUGCUGACAAGCAUUUGUAAAUGCUUGUAAAGAAGUGAUGAUUUUUUUAAUCUGGAAACUGACUACUUAAGCUUUCUGUCUUAGAGAUAUAGUCUUUCUCAUGGUUAAUCUUAACAUAAUUAAAAAGAGAAUGUCUUAGCUAAAGAGUGUUAGGUCUCCUCCUUGCCCCUUAGAGCAAUGGCAUUCUGACAUUAAAUUCUCUCUAUUGCACUCAGUAAAGGCAUUCUACCUACUGAAUUAAUGCAAGCAUUUUAGUAUGUGCUUGAAUAUCUGAACAUUAUUCCUAACUGAAAGAUGAUGAAUUGUAAGGGAGAUUAAAAGGGCACAGGAGAUAGUAUCAGUGGCUAUUGAAAGGCCUAGUCACUCUUCCUGAAUCCCAUGCAUCUAUCCAUCCAUCCAUCCAUCCAUCCAUCCAUCCAUCCAUCCAUCCAUCCAUCCACCCAUCCAUGUAUCCAUCCAAUAUGGAGCAUCAACUGAGAUACUCAGCACUGCUACAUUUCCAGGGAUACUGAGAUGAAUCCUGGUUUUUCAGAACAUAAACUCUGGCCCAGGACUAGGCCAGAUUCUUAUUUCUACAUGUUCACCUGGCCACCCUUCCUGCUUCUAUGUGGAAUUUGCAUUGGAUGGACCAUGCUUCCUAUUCUUGUGACCUACUUGCUCAUUUGAGACUUAUUAACCUCUGUCUUGAUUAUUACAUACUCUCUGACACAUAUUUUAGUGCAGGAUCUUAGGGGAAGGGAAGUACAUAGAACAAACCUGAUUAACAGGUGGUACAAUUUGAGAAGGAUUUUCAAAUUUGAUCUUUCAUCUGAUGCUACCACAGUCCCUGAAGUCCCACAAGUAAAAAUGAACUUUUUUCCACCUUGUAGGUUUUGGUUUUUAAGGGUUUUCUAUUAAGAUGUAAAAACCACAGAAAAAGCUUUUAUCUUCUACCUGUUUAUAGAAAACUUCAUUAUGAAUGAUGCUAUAGCUAAGAAAGGAGGAGGUUAAAAAGAAUGGCUGUUGAAUGCCAAAGGCCCAUUUUUGCCUUAAAUUUCCAGUGUUCUCUAAGGUUGGCUGCAGAUGUAAGGAGAGAUUGGAGGCCUGCCAGAAAGCCUAGGACAUGGGCAGAAAUUGGUGGCUCAUUGUCACAUAAUCUCAAGUAGAAAAUUAUCAGAUACAUGGUAGAAACUGUUAUUUGAGAAUAAGGAAAUCUUUGCAAUGUAGGAUUUUUGAAGUAGAAGGGAAAAUAGGAGUGUGCUAGCCCAGUUAUUAUAGGUGAGAAGAGGUGGUUAACGAUUUGGCUAACGUCAGUGGUCAAUGUGGGAGCUGGCUGCCCCUCCUCAUAAUCUAAUGUUGCACAUCGCUCCAGGUCAGUGCCUCUGCAGGAUGUAAAGCACCUGAAGUAGAAGUCUUCAGGCUGGGAUUCCUUUAACUUGUGGUACAUGAUGCCUUUUCAAGGAGUACAAGAUAGUAUGGGAAGGACAGCUUUAAGGGAAUACAUUCCCAGAUCUUGAAUUUCCAUAUCUAUUAUUCUGAUGAGUCUUUUUCAUUUUUGACAAUCAUUUAUCAAAACAGAUGUUUUUGUUACUCAUGUUGAUUUGUUGAACUGUACACUAGGAAUAAUUGUAAUGGUAACAGUAUAAAAGAAAUGUUGAACACCUUAGAGUCUUAUGGCCACAGAAAAAAAUUAAGUUCUAAUUUAAAAACAUGUUCUGUUGGAAAGAAAUAUGAGUAAAAUGAAUUUUAAGUAUAAAAUAUAUUAUAGUAGGAUAAAAUUCUGUGGAGAAAGUAGAAUGGAAAUAUAAGUUCAAGGAGAAAAGAAAGUGAUGUCAAAUUUCCAAUUAUAAAAAAAAGCCUGUUCACAUAUUUAAAAAAUGAAUAACUAGGUAUUGCAUUGCUAAGGUAGUUAGCAAAGAGCCUUUGGGUUAGUUUCAAACAAUAAUGUAAAAGUUUUAUUUUCAAACACCAAAAUGUAUGAUAUAGUGGAAAUUACAUUAUUUGAUACCAUUUAAACUGAUUAUGAAAAACUUUUUAAACACAUGCAAAAGGCUACAUAGCUUUGACAAGUUGUUUAGGGGUUCAAAUGAAAGAGACAUGGAAGGCCCACUGUUUUAGUACUUGACUUGGAAUGGGCCAUAGUGAAGGUGGACCUGAGAGGGACCAAGGUUUGCAAACUCAAAUGUCCUAGUGGCCAAGGAGGUUUGCAUAAACCAGUGACAUGGGCCUAGUAGGCACUAGACAGUGGAAGAGCUCAUGUCCAAAGGGGCUGCUAUUACUCAGUUCCAAGCAAGCAGCGCUGUGCUCGACUUCAAAGACUCUGUUGCUAGAUUUUUCUAGAAAUUCUAUAUUUUUAGAAAAUAGCUCUGUAUUUUUCAUAUUGGCUCAAAAAAUGUUAAGAUGUUAUAUGGAUCAAACAAAGCACUUUGUUGGGCUGAAUCUGGCCUUAUGGGUCAGUUAUAACUGCUGUAGACAAAAUGGCAUGUAGACUGACCUUUAUUUGACCAUAUUCUAGGAGGGAAAGUGUCCAGUGGCUGAUACAUGAUUACUACAUUACUUUUUCUAAAAAUAUAGGGAACCAAGUAUUAGAGAUUGUUAUUUUGGUCUUUUAAAGUAUUUAUUUCCUAGUGAGUUCAGGGAACUCUACAAAUCUAUAAGUAAGGAAGACAUUCCUUACAUUCUAGAACCAAAUGCACUUCAUAGUUACAUAAAUAUAAGAUGUAAUGUAAUAUAGAUCUAAUUUAAUUAUGUUCCAAGAAUUCACUUUAUGUUUCCGGUGUCAUAACUUCAACAACUGAUGACACUGUAGCACUGAGGACAUAAU
This 5043-nucleotide long non-coding RNA is filed under the name Homo sapiens (human). RNAcentral describes it as "HSALNT0328138". Lineage: Eukaryota; Metazoa; Chordata; Mammalia; Primates; Hominidae. The record is from RNAcentral.